Molecule: ribosomal RNA, 250 nt
Filed under: uncultured bacterium
Lineage: Bacteria
Description: partial 16S ribosomal RNA
Rfam family: Bacterial small subunit ribosomal RNA
Source: RNAcentral
UACGGAGGGUGCAAGCGUUGUUCGGAAUCAUUGGGCGUAAAGGGCGCGUAGGCGGGACGUUAAGUCCGAUGUGAAAUCCCUCGGCUCAACUGAGGACGUGCAUCGGAUACUGGCGACCUUGAGUCCUGGAGAGGGUAGCGGAAUUCCCAGUGUAGAGGUGAAAUUCGUAGAUAUUGGGAGGAACACCGGUGGCGAAGGCGGCUACCUGGACAGUGACUGACGCUGAGGCGCGAAAGCAUGGGUAGCAAAC